GGGAUAUUGAGAUUCCAAACAUAAGAUGGGAAGUAUUUGAGAUGAUGAUGAGAUUCAUAUACACGGGGCUAGUCGAAGUUUCAAGAGAGAUUGCACAAGACCUUCUCAGGGCAGCUGAUCAAUAUCUUUUAGAUGGUCUUAAACGCCUUUGUGAGUAUGCCAUUGCACAGGAUAUAAAAUUGGAAAAUAUCUCCGUCAUGUAUGAAUUGUCAGAGGCCUUCAAUGCAAUGUCUUUGAGACAUACUUGUGUAUUGUACAUUCUUCAACAUUUUGACAAAAUUAUCACAAGACCAGG
RNAcentral lists this unclassified non-coding RNA (295 nucleotides) under Hevea brasiliensis (rubber tree). Lineage: Eukaryota; Viridiplantae; Streptophyta; Magnoliopsida; Malpighiales; Euphorbiaceae. The record is from RNAcentral.